GAUGAACGCUAGCGGCAGGCUUAACACAUGCAAGUCGAGGGGUAGAGGAAGCUUGCUUCCUUGAGACCGGCGCACGGGUGCGUAACGCGUAUGCAACCUACCUUUUACAGAGGGAUAGCCCAGAGAAAUUUGGAUUAAUACCUCAUGGUAUAUAUCAUUCGCAUGUUUGAUAUAUUAAAGUUCCAACGGUAAAAGAUGGGCAUGCGUCCUAUUAGCUGGAUGGUAAGGUAACGGCUUACCAUGGCAACGAUAGGUAGGGGUCCUGAGAGGGAGAUCCCCCACACUGGUACUGAGACACGGACCAGACUCCUACGGGAGGCAGCAGUGAGGAAUAUUGGACAAUGGGCGCAAGCCUGAUCCAGCCAUGCCGCGUGCAGGAAGAAGGCCUUCGGGUUGUAAACUGCUUUUGUCAGGGAAGAAAUCCUCUAGGUUAAUACCCUUGGGGGAUGACGGUACCUGAAGAAUAAGCACCGGCUAACUACGUGCCAGCAGCCG
Molecule: ribosomal RNA, 495 nt
Filed under: uncultured bacterium
Lineage: Bacteria
Description: bacterial SSU rRNA
Rfam family: Bacterial small subunit ribosomal RNA
Source: RNAcentral